UAAUAUUGUUUACAUGUUUGUCCACUCCAAAUCUCAUGUUGAAAAGCAAUCCCCAAUACCAGAAGUGGGACCUAGUGGGAAUUCUUUGAGUCAUGGUGGCAGCUCUCUCAUUAAAGUCUUGGUGACGAAUCAAGAGUAUUAAGGGAAAUUUGAACAAGCUGUGAGUGAUUCAGCUAUUCUCCAAAGUGGCACAGUUCUUCAGCCUUGGGACUUGAACUGGAUUCCUUGCUCCUCAUCAUGCAUGCUGAUUGCCUGUUGUGGGACCUUGUGUUCAUGACUGGCUCUUCUCCAUCUGGAAUACCAUAAUCAGAAUGGGUGCUACUCUUCCCAAGGCAAAAUCACCCUUAAAGUAUAUCCUGGAUAACUGGAUAUGACCCACAGUCUUUGAAGAAGAAGCAGCUCAUUGUUUUCUGCCAAAUAGCAUGCCCACAAUAUGAUCUGCUGAGUGGAGAAACCUGGCCUCCUGAGGGAAGUAUCAAUCAUAACACCAUUCUACAAUUACAUCUUUUCGGUAAGAGGGAAGAUAAAUGGAUUGACGUCCCCUAUGUACAAGUUUUCUUUUCUCUAAGGGAUAAUCCUCAGCUAUGUAAGCCUUGUAACCUAUGCCCUACUGGCCCCUCCUCAGGACUACCCCCAUUUCC
Molecule: long non-coding RNA, 641 nt
Organism: Sapajus apella (tufted capuchin)
Lineage: Eukaryota; Metazoa; Chordata; Mammalia; Primates; Cebidae
Exons: 5
Source: RefSeq, a predicted model, not a curated record